RNAcentral lists this ribosomal RNA (253 nucleotides) under uncultured bacterium. RNAcentral's name for it is "partial 16S ribosomal RNA". It matches the Rfam family "Bacterial small subunit ribosomal RNA", at positions 524 to 776 of the family's 1533-position model. The record is from RNAcentral.
UACGGGGGGGGCAAGCGUUGUUCGGAAUUACUGGGCGUAAAGGGCUCGUAGGCGGCCAACUAAGUCAGACGUGAAAUCCCUCGGCUUAACCGGGGAACUGCGUCUGAUACUGGAUGGCUAGAGGUUGGGAGAGGGAUGCGGAAUUCCAGGUGUAGCGGUGAAAUGCGUAGAUAUCUGGAGGAACACCGGUGGCGAAGGCGGCAUCCUGGACCAAUUCUGACGCUGAUGCGCGAAAGCCAGGGGAGCAAACGGG